UGCGUAGGUGGCAAGCGUUAUCCGGAAUUAUUGGGCGUAAAGAGCGCGCAGGUGGUUGAUUAAGUCUGAUGUGAAAGCCCACGGCUUAACCGUGGAGGGUCAUUGGAAACUGGUCGACUUGAGUGCAGAAGAGGGAAGUGGAAUUCCAUGUGUAGCGGUGAAAUGCGUAGAGAUAUGGAGGAACACCAGUGGCGAAGGCGGCUUCCUGGUCUGUAACUGACACCGAGGCGCGAAAGCGUGGGGAGCAAACAGGAUUAGAUA
RNAcentral lists this ribosomal RNA (261 nucleotides) under uncultured prokaryote. RNAcentral describes it as "partial 16S ribosomal RNA". It matches the Rfam family "Bacterial small subunit ribosomal RNA", at positions 524 to 784 of the family's 1533-position model. The record is from RNAcentral.